RNAcentral lists this ribosomal RNA (439 nucleotides) under uncultured bacterium. RNAcentral describes it as "partial 16S ribosomal RNA". It matches the Rfam family "Bacterial small subunit ribosomal RNA", at positions 339 to 795 of the family's 1533-position model. The record is from RNAcentral.
CCUCGGGAUGCACCAGUGAGGAAUAUUGCACAAUGGGGGAAACCCUGAUGCAGCAACGCCGCGUGGAGGAUGACGCAUUUCGGUGUGUAAACUCCUUUUAUAUGUCAAGAAAAUGACGGUAGCAUAUGAAUAAGCACCGGCUAACUCCGUGCCAGCAGCCGCGGUAAUACGGAGGGUGCAAGCGUUACUCGGAAUCACUGGGCGUAAAGGACGCGUAGGCGGGUUGGAAAGUCAGGUGUGAAAUCCUACAGCUUAACUGUAGAACUGCACUUGAAACUUCUAAUCUAGAGUAUGGGAGGGGGAGAUGGAAUUAGUGGUGUAGGGGUAAAAUCCGUAGAUAUCACUAGGAAUACCUAAAGCGAAGGCGAUCUCCUGGAACAUUACUGACGCUAAGGCGUGAAAGCGUGGGGAGCAAACAGGAUUAGAUACCCCCGUAGUC